CGGGGCAUAGCGCAGCCUGGUAGCGCAUCUGCUUUGGGAGCAGAGGGUCGGGAGUUCAAAUCUCUCUGCCCCGACCA
Molecule: transfer RNA, 77 nt
Filed under: Gammaproteobacteria bacterium
Lineage: Bacteria; Pseudomonadati; Pseudomonadota; Gammaproteobacteria
Description: tRNA-Pro
Rfam family: tRNA
About the family: Transfer RNA (tRNA) molecules are approximately 80 nucleotides in length. Their secondary structure includes four short double-helical elements and three loops (D, anti-codon, and T loops).
Source: RNAcentral